This 482-nucleotide ribosomal RNA is filed under the name uncultured bacterium. RNAcentral's name for it is "partial 16S ribosomal RNA". It matches the Rfam family "Bacterial small subunit ribosomal RNA", at positions 30 to 507 of the family's 1533-position model. The record is from RNAcentral.
UGAACGCUGGCGGCAGGCCUAACACAUGCACGUCGAGCGGAUGAAGGGAGCUUGCUCCUGGAUUCAGCGGCGGACGGGUGGGUAAUGCCUAGGAAUCUGCCUGGUAGUGGGGGAUAACGUCCGGAAACGGGCGCUAAUACCGCAUACGUCCUGAGGGAGAAAGUGGGGGAUCUUCGGACCUCACGCUAUCAGAUGAGCCUAGGUCGGAUUAGCUAGUUGGUGGGGUAAAGGCCUACCAAGGCGACGAUCCGUAACUGGUCUGAGAGGAUGAUCAGUCACACUGGAACUGAGACACGGUCCAGACUCCUACGGGAGGCAGCAGUGGGGAAUAUUGGACAAUGGGCGAAAGCCUGAUCCAGCCAUGCCGCGUGUGUGAAGAAGGUCUUCGGAUUGUAAAGCACUUUAAGUUGGGAGGAAGGGCAGUAAGUUAAUACCUUGCUGUUUUGACGUUACCAACAGAAUAAGCACCGGCUAACUUCGUG